AAAGGAGAUUGAGCAUGCGACCAGCUUCUACUGUUACGUGUCAACACAUAAAGACUGUGAACCAUCAGUGAAGUUCCUACAUGAUGAUAAAGUCGUUUUAGGUCACAGAGACCUGAAGGCAUCACAGACUCACUACUACGCUGUCGUGUCCUUUGAGGAGUUUAACUCACCAAUGCUGAACUCAUUAAUUUGUGAAGUGACUGAUUGUUACAGUAACGUUCAUAAGUUUCCUCUCAGAUCUCAGGCCUCAGAUGAAGACACAAAACCAGCAAUGACUGAAUCAACAACUGUUGAAAACUUAGUUACAGCAUUGAUCACUGAAGCUUCAGCAGAAAAACAAGGUUGGUGGAGGAUCAUCAUCGUCUCUGUGGGUUUAACAACACUCAUAAUCACUGUUGUUACAGUCGACAUAUGGAUCAGAACCAAAGGGAACAAAACACAAAAGAAUCAAACCACAGUGAGUGAAAAACUGAUAUUUAUUAAAGUUUUCAUUUACUACUUUAGAGCCGAAUCUCAGUGAUGUUGGUUCCACAGGUUGAUGAAGAUGAAGAUG
Molecule: long non-coding RNA, 553 nt
Organism: Betta splendens (Siamese fighting fish)
Lineage: Eukaryota; Metazoa; Chordata; Actinopteri; Anabantiformes; Osphronemidae
Exons: 4
Source: RefSeq, a predicted model, not a curated record